This 717-nucleotide small RNA is filed under the name Histoplasma capsulatum var. duboisii H88. RNAcentral's name for it is "Histoplasma capsulatum H88 hypothetical RNA". The record is from RNAcentral. Lineage: Eukaryota; Fungi; Ascomycota; Eurotiomycetes; Onygenales; Ajellomycetaceae.
CAGCAGGUGAUCCUUGCAGCCAUUCCAACUGCAAUUCGGUCGCACACAACCCCCUCUUCCUGCAAGGCUACAUACACUCCACUACUCGGGGCAGAACUCGCCGUUGGAUAAAAUCUCACCGAAGCCCCUUGAAGCUAUCGUUAGAGUUUGAGUUUUCGAUCUCAAAUUAAGGCUCGUCAUCCAACGGAUCUCCGUUUAGUCUUUUAUAAUUAUCCACAACCAUUUUAAUCCCGUUUGUUUCAACAGUUUCACUGCAUACCGCUCUGCCGUCAAAGGUUACCUACCGGUGCACCCUAUCAUCAAGUCGAUGGAAAGACUCAAAAACAACAACUGGCGAUGAUUCAAUAGAGGUGUUUUUUGCUCUUGGCACACUUCACCUUUUCUACCAGCCGCUUUCCAGGUAUCCUGUGUGUGUACCAGGGCCGUGCCUUGGUUAAGCGGUGAAGCUGAUGCAGACUAAAGGAUACUUUUACCCUCAACGAUUUGAAAGGGCGGAGCAGCGCGUGCUCGUAGGUUUGGUAGCUCGCGAUGCAUUGUUAAUGAAAAAUAAAAAAAAAAUGCAAUGAAGGGCGGAGCAACCCGGUUUCUACUGAAACAACAUCUGUAAUAAUAAGGAAUAAAUAGCCAUAUGCAAGUAGACGGCCCAGCUCCGCCAAGGAGGGUACAUCUCUUACCUUACUAGGUUCAGGGAGCAUUCUAUCUCAAUCCAAAUAUGAG